GAUGAAGAACGUAGUGAAAUGCGAUAAUUAAUGUGAAUUGCAGAAUUCAGUGAAUCAUCGAAUCUUUGAACGCACAUUGCGCCCGCUAGUAUUCUGGCGGGCAUGCCUGUCCGAGCGUCAUUUCAACCCUCAAGCCCCCGGGCUUGGUGUUGGGGAUCGGCGAGCCUCCGCGCCCGCCGUCCCCUAAAUCUAGUGGCGGUCUCGCUGUAGCUUCCUCUGCGUAGUAGCACACCUCGCACUGGGAAACAGCGCGGCCACGCCGUUAAACCCCCAACUUCUGAACGUUUGACCUCGGAUCAGGUAGGAAUACCCGCUGAACUUAAGCAUAUCAAUAAGCGGAGGA
This 343-nucleotide unclassified non-coding RNA is filed under the name soil metagenome. Its description in RNAcentral is "partial contains 5.8S ribosomal RNA, internal transcribed spacer 2, and large subunit ribosomal RNA". The stretch from base 1 to 120 matches the Rfam family "5.8S ribosomal RNA", at positions 35 to 154 of the family's 154-position model. The record is from RNAcentral.